This 332-nucleotide long non-coding RNA is filed under the name Citrus x clementina. RNAcentral describes it as "Citrus clementina (C. clementina) long non-coding RNA (CCLE_LNC004645)". Lineage: Eukaryota; Viridiplantae; Streptophyta; Magnoliopsida; Sapindales; Rutaceae. The record is from RNAcentral.
AAAACAUGUCCAGUAAUAAGAAAUUGGGUUAGGAAGAACUUACUACCUAACUGGCUAAAUCAAGCUUCCUCCAAUCUUUACUCCAAUAGCAUAUGAGAAAAAAGAUUCAAAUUGUAUCAUCUUUAAACUUAGAAGCAAGUCCAUAUCAAGCAAGCAAAUAACUUUCGUUUCUAUUGCACUUUCCUUCUUUCAUUGACAAAGGACAUCCUUUAAGUUGUUACUCUUUGUGAUUCCAAUCAAUUGAAUAGCAUUGAAUAUGAUCCAAUCAAUGCCCCAUUGGACAAAGUAAGUGGCCAAUACAAAGGAGGUCAAGAUGGGAAGAGUUUUUUUUU